AGUGAACGCUGGCGGUAGGCCUAACACAUGCAAGUCGAACGGCAGCACAGUAAGAGCUUGCUCUUACGGGUGGCGAGUGGCGGACGGGUGAGGAAUACAUCGGAAUCUACUUUUUCGUGGGGGGUAACGUAGGGAAACUUACGCUAAUACCGCAUACGACCUACGGGUGAAAGCAGGGGAUCUUCGGACCUUGCGCGUUUGAAUGAGCCGAUGUCGGAUUAGCUAGUUGGCGGGGUAAAGGCCCACCAAGGCGACGAUCCGUAGCUGGUCUGAGAGGAUGAUCAGCCACACUGGAACUGAGACACGGUCCAGACUCCUACGGGAGGCAGCAGUGGGGAAUAUUGGACAAUGGGCGCAAGCCUGAUCCAGCCAUACCGCGUGAGUGAAGAAGGCCUUCGGGUUGUAAAGCCCUUUUGUUGGGAAAGAAAAGCAGCAGGUUAAUACCCCGCUGUUCUGACGGUACCCAAAGAAUAAGCACCGGCUAACUUCGUG
This 492-nucleotide ribosomal RNA is filed under the name uncultured bacterium. RNAcentral describes it as "partial 16S ribosomal RNA". It matches the Rfam family "Bacterial small subunit ribosomal RNA", at positions 29 to 507 of the family's 1533-position model. The record is from RNAcentral.